UACGGAGGGUGCAAGCGUUAUCCGGAAUCAUUGGGUUUAAAGGGUCCGUAGGCGGGCAUCUAAGUCAGUGGUGAAAUGCAGGGGCUUAACUCCGGCACUGCCAUUGAUACUGGAAGUCUUGAAUUAUUGUGAAGUGGUUAGAAUAUGUAGUGUAGCGGUGAAAUGCUUAGAUAUUACAUAGAAUACCGAUUGCGAAGGCAGAUCACUAACAAUAUAUUGACGCUGAUGGACGAAAGCGUGGGUAGCGAACAGG
RNAcentral lists this ribosomal RNA (253 nucleotides) under uncultured bacterium. RNAcentral's name for it is "partial 16S ribosomal RNA". It matches the Rfam family "Bacterial small subunit ribosomal RNA", at positions 524 to 776 of the family's 1533-position model. The record is from RNAcentral.